GAUGAACGCUGGCGGCGUGCCUAAUACAUGCAAGUCGAACGCGCAGCGAGAGGUGCUUGCACCUUUCAAGCGAGUGGCGAACGGGUGAGUAACACGUGGAUAACCUGCCUCAAGGCUGGGGAUAACAUUUGGAAACAGAUGCUAAUACCGAAUAAAACUUAGUAUCGCAUGAUAUCAAGUUAAAAGGCGCUACGGCGUCACCUAGAGAUGGAUCCGCGGUGCAUUAGUUAGUUGGUGGGGUAAAGGCUUACCAAGACGAUGAUGCAUAGCCGAGUUGAGAGACUGAUCGGCCACAUUGGGACUGAGACACGGCCCAAACUCCUACGGGAGGCUGCAGUAGGGAAUCUUCCACAAUGGGCGCAAGCCUGAUGGAGCAACGCCGCGUGUGUGAUGAAGGCUUUCGGGUCGUAAAGCACUGUUGUAUGGGAAGAAAUGCUAAAAUAGGGAAUGAUUUUAGUUUGACGGUACCAUACCAGAAAGGGACGGCUAAAUACGUGCCAACAGCCGCGGUAAUACGUAUGUCCCGAGCGUUAUCCGGAUUUAUUGGGCGUAAAGCGAGCGCAGACGGUUGAUUAAGUCUGAUGUGAAAGCCCGGAGCUCAACUCCGGAAU
This 611-nucleotide ribosomal RNA is filed under the name uncultured bacterium. RNAcentral's name for it is "bacterial SSU rRNA". It matches the Rfam family "Bacterial small subunit ribosomal RNA", at positions 28 to 621 of the family's 1533-position model. The record is from RNAcentral.